RNAcentral lists this unclassified non-coding RNA (338 nucleotides) under uncultured Auriculariales. Its description in RNAcentral is "partial contains 5.8S ribosomal RNA, internal transcribed spacer 2, and large subunit ribosomal RNA". The stretch from base 1 to 102 matches the Rfam family "5.8S ribosomal RNA", at positions 53 to 154 of the family's 154-position model. The record is from RNAcentral. Lineage: Eukaryota; Fungi; Basidiomycota; Agaricomycetes; Auriculariales.
AUGCGAUAAGUAAUGUGAAUUGCAGAAUUCAGUGAAUCAUCGAAUCUUUGAACGCAACUUGCGCUCCUUGGUAUUCCAUGGAGCAUGCCUGUUUGAGUGUCACGUAAACCCUCACCCUUGCGAUGUCACAGUCGACUUGUGGUGGAUUUGGACUGUGCCGUAAUUGGCUCAUCCUGAAAUGCAUUAGCUUGCGCUUGUUACAGUGCUCGGCAUGGUGUGAUAAUUAUCUGCGCCGUCGCCUUAGGCCUGUUCUAUAUGUGCAGCUUCUAAUCGUCCCUUGCGGACAACUUACUUAACACUUUGGCCUCAAAUCAGGUAGGACUACCCGCUGAACUUAA